This 253-nucleotide ribosomal RNA is filed under the name uncultured bacterium. RNAcentral describes it as "partial 16S ribosomal RNA". It matches the Rfam family "Bacterial small subunit ribosomal RNA", at positions 524 to 776 of the family's 1533-position model. The record is from RNAcentral.
UACGAAGGGGGCUAGCGUUGUUCGGAAUUACUGGGCGUAAAGCGCGCGCAGGCGGUCUUCCAAGUCAGUGGUGAAAGCCCGGAGCUCAACUCCGGAACUGCCAUUGAAACUGUAAGACUUGAGGAUGAGAGAGGUGAGUGGAAUUCCUAGUGUAGAGGUGAAAUUCGUAGAUAUUGGGAAGAACACCGGUGGCGAAGGCGGCUCACUGGCUCAUAUCUGACGCUCAGGCGCGACAGCGUGGGGAUCAAACAGG